GCGGGCUUGCUGUCAUACGAAGAUUGGAACCACCAAGCUGUCGGCUUCAUUUAUCAGCUUCCCAAGCUGAUAACGAGGGUUCGACUCCCUUCACCCGCUCCA
Molecule: transfer RNA, 102 nt
Filed under: Pseudomonas hygromyciniae
Lineage: Bacteria; Pseudomonadati; Pseudomonadota; Gammaproteobacteria; Pseudomonadales; Pseudomonadaceae
Description: tRNA-Ser
Source: RNAcentral